AACCAUUCUCACCUGCGGCUAGACCUGCGGAAGGAUCAUUACAGAGUUGCAAAACUCCCUAAACCAUUGUGAACGUUACCUAAACCGUUGCUUCGGCGGGCGGCCCGGGUCCUUCCCGGCGCCCCUCGGCCCUCGCGGGCGCCCGCCGGAGGUAAACCAAACUAUUGCAUUGUAUGGCCUCUCUGAGUCUUCUGUACUGAAUAAGUCAAAACUUUUAGCAACGGAUCUCAGAUCGGAAGA
RNAcentral lists this unclassified non-coding RNA (240 nucleotides) under soil metagenome. RNAcentral's name for it is "partial contains 5.8S ribosomal RNA, internal transcribed spacer 2, and large subunit ribosomal RNA". The record is from RNAcentral.